This 74-nucleotide transfer RNA is filed under the name Hyphomicrobium sp. MC1. It matches the Rfam family "tRNA". From Rfam's summary of the family: Transfer RNA (tRNA) molecules are approximately 80 nucleotides in length. Their secondary structure includes four short double-helical elements and three loops (D, anti-codon, and T loops). The record is from Rfam by way of RNAcentral. Lineage: Bacteria; Pseudomonadati; Pseudomonadota; Alphaproteobacteria; Hyphomicrobiales; Hyphomicrobiaceae.
GGUCCCGUAGCUCAGUUGGAUAGAGCAUCUGCCUUCUAAGCAGAGGGUCGCAGGUUCAAGUCCUGCCGGGAUCG